This 306-nucleotide long non-coding RNA is filed under the name Chinchilla lanigera (long-tailed chinchilla). Its description in RNAcentral is "lncRNA (ENSCLAG00000026278.1)". The record is from RNAcentral. Lineage: Eukaryota; Metazoa; Chordata; Mammalia; Rodentia; Chinchillidae.
GUUGGUGGUGAUACCAAGUUUGGACUCACAUGAUUCUAAAAUUACCUAUUCACUCGGUAUGAAAUGACUGGUUCACUAAAUACAAUCCUUUCCAUAUGAUAUUAUUAAAUCACCAUGUCUGGGCCCUAGGUCCUUGUGGGUAAGCCCAAGAGCCUGGAGAUUGAGUUCAUUUUUCUCCUAAUUGGUUCAGAUUGGCAUCAUACAGCUGGAGGACUUGGAGAACAGAAGGUGAAGGAGGAGGCUGGAUCCUGUUCCUCCUCUUUACUUUUUCAAUUCAACCAGUGUAUGGACCUUAAGCAUUCCUGA